Long non-coding RNA from Cyprinus carpio carpio, 1104 nucleotides. The record is from Ensembl. NCBI's taxonomy places the organism in Eukaryota, Metazoa, Chordata, Actinopteri, Cypriniformes, Cyprinidae.
GUAAGAUUGUGCUCCUCAAAGAAAACUCAUACAGGCUUCAGAGUAAUUAAUGGCAGGAUGGACGCAGCGAGGUCAUAGAAAGUAAUAUAAAAUAUUCUUAAGAGAAGCUGACUUCAUCUGUGGCUGUCAUUGGCAGACUGGACUCUUCUUCAUCAGGAGGGAGGAGAUUUUCUCCGGCACACCCAGAUUAGGAGUUUAAAUGAGCUCUAGUAUGCACUGCAGAUGCUAUGAAACGCAGAAGAGAUGUUUUCCAGAAGAACCCAUUCGGUGAGCUCAGAAAAACAGCAGUCCGGAGCUGUUAUUUCCCAGCCGUCCCAGUUCUCCCUGGAGGAUGGAUGCAAUUUCCACACAGAAAACAACAUUUGGAUCUGCUGGAAGUGGAACAAAGCUCCAUAGAGAGCAUCAACAUGGUGCAUAAGUUCAUGAAUUUAAACAAUCCAGUAUAAAUGCUUGGUUUGACCUUUACGGUGCAGAAGAGUGACCCACAAACCCCAGCAGUGUCCUGGAUCAUGAGCUGUCUUCAGCAUCUGCUCUCAAACUCUUGCAGCAAAAGUAUCAUAAGUAUCUUGAGGGGCCUUCAAAUGCUGUCUUUGACAGUGAGGUGCCUCAGAGUCAGAAAGAUCAAGAGUUAUCUGUGGUGACACAAGCUUCACAAAUGAACAGUAAACCUCCAGAAAGAUCUGAAGAAUCUAAUGAAUUCAGCUGACGUUGGAGAACAUGUUCCUCCAGUUUAGCAUCUGAAAGGACUGUUCCUGUCUGAGGUGAGCGUGAACCCAAGGCCAGCUCCACAUGUGCUGUUUACGGCAGUGGAUUAGAGUUCAGAACAAGGCGUUCAUUGUGCAGGGAAUUACAGGGACAGCUGCAGGCAUUGACGCCCUGCGGGAUACUGACCCCAAACCCCAGAGAUUACCAGCGCCUGGCCCCCCGUCCAUGAUUGCUGCCUGACACGAGCCUGUGCACAAGUUUACAGCUGCUAUAAAUGUGAAGUUCAAAUAAAGAACCAUAAAACAAAAAGCUGUUUGUACUGGCAGCACAUUUUAACUAGCCCUCAUACACAGAUGAGCGGGUUCAUGCUACAUGUUAACCAGUCAUCCCAUAUCCCAC